CAGCCGUAAACUAUGCUCGCUAGGUGUCAGGCAUGGCGCGACCGUGUCUGGUGCCGCAGGGAAGCCGUGAAGCGAGCCACCUGGGAAGUACGGCCGCAAGGCUGAAACUUAAAGGAAUUGGCGGGGGAGCACAACAACGGGUGGAGCCUGCGGUUUAAUUGGACUCAGCGCCGGGAAGCUCACCGGAUAAGUCAGCGGAAUGAUUGCCGGGCUGAAGACUCUGCAUGACUAGCUGAGAGGUGGUGCAUGGCGUAGACGUCU
This 261-nucleotide ribosomal RNA is filed under the name uncultured archaeon. RNAcentral's name for it is "partial 16S ribosomal RNA". It matches the Rfam family "Archaeal small subunit ribosomal RNA", at positions 748 to 1009 of the family's 1478-position model. The record is from RNAcentral.